Molecule: long non-coding RNA, 1488 nt
Filed under: Sus scrofa (pig)
Lineage: Eukaryota; Metazoa; Chordata; Mammalia; Artiodactyla; Suidae
Description: lncRNA (ENSSSCG00035041945.1)
Source: RNAcentral
UGGCAGCCCCCGCCCUCGCCCUCCGCCCCUCGACACAGACUCAAAGGUAGAGGAUGGAGUCCAGCCCCUCCCCUACAGCUCCCCCCUGAAUCUAGAGGCGAGAGUGGUCCCACCGCUGUCAAGUCACUCCUCCCUGAGGCCAGUUUUCCCCACGAGUGUCUUCGAUGGGAGAGGAAAGCCACCUCCGUGGGUUGCGUGUUUGUGAAACGAAGAUGGGAACGGAGACUCGGCAGGUCCCGGGAGAAGCUGACGCGCCCCCGCGUCCCCAGCACCCCCGGCCGGGCUUGUGCGGACGUGUCUCGGGCGUGACCUCUGAGCAGCUGCGCCACCGGCUCAGCCUCGCGGCGGGAGAAACCCGAGCUCCCAACAAAACAGUUCCAUCUUUGGCAAGUCCUCUGAUACCAGGUGGUCAGCAGAGGCUCAGAAGCUUUACAUCUUUACAAGAGGAAGUCUCCUUUCUAAUAUCAUCCCCCCCGUCCCCAAACUGAUUCCACUUGGCCUCUACCUGCCUGAGGUACUGGAAUGCAGAGUUGAAAUUGACAAAAAUAAUGCUUCUUUUCCAGGGCCGAAAUUUCCGGGCCCCAUAAUAGUAGGUAACAUUUACAGAGUGCUUAUUCUGAGCUACGCACUUUGAUGCAAUAACUCAUUGGAGCCUCACAACAAUCCUGUGAAUCCUCGGAAGUAGGAAUUCUUAUUAUCCCUUUUUUGCAGGCAAUGAAACAAGCACAGAGAGGUUGGGCAAUGUGCUUGGGGUCACACAGCUAGGAAAUGGUAGGGUUGGGAUUGAAAUUUAGGCAAGUCUUGCUCCAGAGCCUGUGCUUAUAACUGCUUUGCUCACCAGGUGAAAGAUACUGUGUUUUGGAAUUUGUCUCCUAGCACACUGGGUCUUGACAAGGUGGAGAAAGGAGCUCUAGGAAGUUUGGAAAUCAGACGUGGCCAAGUCAGGAUCUUCUGAAAUGUUCCGACGUGGUCAGAAAGAGCUGGGGUCUGUGGGGGUGUGGUGUACAGUGGUCACUAGGAAUUGCGUGCUCUCUGUUUUGGAAGUGUUGGAAGUUUGUUAACGCUCAGCUUGUCAUUCUCAGUCUGGGGUCCCUGGCAGUUUGACUUAUAGGAAAGAGAUAGGACUGGCAGUAAGUAGCAGGAGGUCAGGAUUGUCACCUUGGCCACAAGUGUUGGUCUGAAAAAAAGGAGGGGUGUGAGAGCAGCCCAGCUGGGACCUUACCUGAGAGUCGGGGGAGGGCCUGCUCUCAUCUUCAUGGCCCCAGAAGGUAUGCCAGGCCUCCUCUUCUGAAGCCUGGGUCUGGCAGGCCGAUUCAUUGCUAGACAGAAGUUGUCAAGGAGUCAGGCUUUGCCUCUGCCUUGAGGACUGCCCUGUCCUGGUAUCCAUGUCUGGGGAAUGGAGUGAGCCAUUAGAGGAUGCUUUUGAGGGGAGGGCAGGGAACGAGCCUAGGUUCUAGGAUAGUUUGAGGGCUCAUUUCUCCACACCAU